Molecule: ribosomal RNA, 231 nt
Filed under: Triticum aestivum (bread wheat)
Lineage: Eukaryota; Viridiplantae; Streptophyta; Magnoliopsida; Poales; Poaceae
Description: partial small subunit ribosomal RNA
Source: RNAcentral
UGUGAUGCUGGAAGCUGCAAUCGCCGCCGAUGUAUUUCUGAAUAGCUACUGGGAGGAGGACAAAUCCCACCAGACUUGGCUCUAAUUUAAGUUAUCAUAAGAGUAAGUAAUCAGCACUUGUUGUUCUGUUUUCUGAUUCUAUUGAGAAAGCUCAAAAUUUGCAGUGUAAGAUCAAACUUUUGCUCGCAGAAUAUUGAAUGUGUGCUAAAAAGUAUGUAGAUUUACUCAUGA